RNAcentral lists this ribosomal RNA (463 nucleotides) under uncultured bacterium. Its description in RNAcentral is "partial 16S ribosomal RNA". It matches the Rfam family "Bacterial small subunit ribosomal RNA", at positions 28 to 507 of the family's 1533-position model. The record is from RNAcentral.
GAUGAACGCUGGCGGCGUGCUUAACACAUGCAAGUCGAACGGAAAGGCCCCAGCUUGCUUGGGUACUCGAGUGGCGAACGGGUGAGUAACACGUGGGUGAUCUGCCCUGCACUUCGGGAUAAGCCAGGGAAACUGGGUCUAAUACCGGAUAGGACCACUUCGUCGUUGUUGUGGUGGAAAGUUUUUUCGCUGUGGGAGGUGCUCGCGGCCUAUCAGCUUGUGGGUGUGGUAAUGGCCUACCAACGCUUCGACGGGUAGCCUGCCUGAGAGGGGCUACGGACACAGUCGGACUGUUGUGCAGCGAAGAAUAGUAGGGAAGGCAGCAGCGGGAAAUAUUGCACAAAGGGCGGAAGUCUGAUGCAACGACGCAGUGGGGGGGAUGACGGCCGUCGGGUUAUAAGCACCUAUCGCAAAAGACGAAUUUAGGAUGGUAUUUGGAGAAGAAGCACCGGCUAACUACGUG